RNAcentral lists this ribosomal RNA (91 nucleotides) under Streptococcus agalactiae. The record is from RNAcentral. Lineage: Bacteria; Bacillati; Bacillota; Bacilli; Lactobacillales; Streptococcaceae. RNAcentral also lists the same sequence under 2 other names.
CCUAGGAGAUACACCUGUUCUCAUGCCGAACACAGAAGUUAAGCCCUAGAACGCCGGAAGUAGUUGGGGGUUGCCCCCUGUGAGAUAAGGU